GGAAUUAAAAGUCGUAACAAGGUCUCCGUUGGUGAACCAGCGGAGGGAUCAUUACAGGACUCGCAAGACUCCUACAACCCUGUGAACUUAACUAUAAGCACGUUGCUUCGGCGGGUGUCUCGGAGGGGGUUCUCCCUCCCCGAGACGCUAAACCCGCCGGCAGCCUACUAUACUCUGUCUCUUUGCGUUGGCAUCUCGAGUACAAUCAAACAAGUUAAAACUUUCAACAACGGAUCUCUUGGUUCUG
Molecule: unclassified non-coding RNA, 247 nt
Filed under: plant metagenome
Description: partial contains small subunit ribosomal RNA, internal transcribed spacer 1, and 5.8S ribosomal RNA
Rfam family: Eukaryotic small subunit ribosomal RNA (bases 1-54)
Source: RNAcentral